UACCACACUACACAUCAGCUAAUUUUCAGA
RNAcentral lists this non-coding RNA (30 nucleotides) under Mus musculus (house mouse). The record is from RNAcentral. Lineage: Eukaryota; Metazoa; Chordata; Mammalia; Rodentia; Muridae.